Diorhabda sublineata is the source of this 4491-nucleotide long non-coding RNA. RefSeq lists it as uncharacterized. NCBI's taxonomy places the organism in Eukaryota, Metazoa, Arthropoda, Insecta, Coleoptera, Chrysomelidae. The transcript has 2 exons. The record is from RefSeq and is a predicted model, not a curated record.
CAUAGUAGCUAGUAAACCUGAUAAUGAAAGUACUAAUAAAUAAAACUAUUAGUAAAUAAAUAUAUUUUUAAUAAAAGAAGCAAUUGAACAAUGAACAACGAAACAUGGUGUCAGAAGCGUAGUCGAAAAUCGCCGAGAGCUUAAAAAGAAUAAAAAAUGAAAGUUAGACAUAAGCCAUUUUCCCUCCAAUAAGUAUAAUAAAAAACGAGAAGUUAAAAAUGGAAUACUUCAAGUCCCCGGAAGCGUUUAACGUACAGGAGCCACAUGGAUGGUCCAAAUGGAAGCAAAUAUUUGAAAUAUUUUUGUUAUCUUCAGGAAAAAACACUAGUUGUAUAUCUAUAAUACAUUUGAAACAACCAAAACUUCAAAACUAGAUGAUGUGUUAUUUUGUUUUGAUGAUCAUUUUUUACCCAAAGAAAUGACAAACAGCACCAAAACAAGUGGUAAGAACGAGGUAAUUAUUCUAAUUCCAAAUAGCCAGAAAACGGGAGGCAGGAAGAAUAUUGGUCAAAUGAACAAGAUGAAGCUGAGGUUAAGAAACUAACAUCAGAAGUACAGGUUUUGGGCAAUGUAAACUCAGAAUUCAGACAUUAUAAGUAGGGACAAUGCAGGUAUUGAGAAUUCUAUUUUUAUUAAUGAGCAUAAGCCAAAUAUUAAAAAGAAUAGCUGGUAUGAACCUAUUAUUGUUAACAAUAUUGACAAUUGACAUUAUGUUUAAGCUUGAAACAGGAGCUGAAUCUAGCGUUGUACCUUUGAAAUAUUUUAAUGAUCUGAUAAAUAUAAAAUUAUUUCAACAUGACAAUAAUUUCCUUUUGAAAUUGAGUGUUUUUAUAAAAGUCAAUUUAAAAAUGUUGAAUUUUUUAUAGUUGAUAUAGAGUCAGGGCCUUCACUGGAGUUAGGUGAUUGUUUACAUUUUAACAUGAUAUCUAGAGGGAGUAUAGUUCAAACCAAGAUGAUGAUAAUACUGCCAAAAACAAGAAAUGGAGUAAAUAAAAAUUUUAAAAACAUUUUUGAGGGCUUCGGAUGAAUUUCAGAUUAUGUGGAAAUUAGAUUAUACAAACACAAAGAAGGUACCAUUGGCCUUUAAUGAAAAACUAAAAUCAACGUUAGAUAAUCUUGAACAAAAAAGUAUAAUUUCUAAAGUUGAGUUUCCAACAGAUUGGGUUAAUUCAUUGAUGAUUGUUGAGAAUUCUAAUGUAUUACUUUGUUUGUGUUUAGAUCCAAAACCAUUGAACAAAUAUAUUUGUCGAGAGCAUUAUAUUAUUCCUAGGUGUGACGAAAUUUUAGCUAAGCUGGAAGGAAAAGCAAUUUAAUCUGUAAUUAAAUUUAAAAAAUAUUAGAAAUGAUCUUUAAAAUAUAUAAAAUUUAACUUUGAUAAGCUGCAAUAUAAAAUGCAACCUUCUAAAAAAAUGUACAAGCUGUUUCGGCGAUUGAAAAACUUUUAGACACAAGAUAUUUACCUAGUCCCUAAGAUGUAUGUCGCAGAUGCAUUAAGUUGAUCUUAUAUUAAAUCAGAGACUCCCUUAGAUACAGAACUAGGAUACACUGUUCAUGCACUCUCUUUAACUGUACCGAUGUCUGCAGAAAAGGAAAUUGUUUUUCAAAAUGCUGUUAAUAAUGAUUGUUGAAUAACUCAUAGCCCAACACUGAUAAAAAGUUGACUUCUGAAUUGAAAUAUUCCUUAAACUUGAGACAUAACAAAUAUUUUUCUGACAAUUUGCUAUUUUAUAACAUAAAAAUUGUUGUUCCUUCUGAAACUUAGAAGUAGUAUGUUUAAAUUAAUACAUUUGACCAACUUUGGAAUGUAAAAAUGUAAAUUACAAUCACGUAAAAUUGUGAUAUGGCUCAAAAUGUCUAAUGAUAUUGAGAACUAUGUAAGAAAUUGUGAAACUUGUCAAUUCAAUAGGCCAGCUAACCUAAAAGAGACUCUUGUGCCCCAUAAAACACCAGAAAGGGGGCGUCCAUGAAUUACGUGAGACAUUUUCUAGGAUUUUUCGACUCCCCACCCUCCUGAUGAGAUUUCGUAAGAUUUUUCUUUACUACCCACACCCCCCCUCCCCCAUUCUCACGUGAGAUUUUUUAUAAUGUGUUUUUGGCUGUAAAAUUCAUUGGAUUUAAAAAAAAUACAAAAAAAAAACAAUUUGCACUAUCACUUUUAUUAAAGACUAGUAUACAAUUGUGAUUUGAGAAUAUUGCCUUAGUUUAAAAUCACUGUGAUGAAAUUAAAUAAUAAAUACUUCAACGUAAAUUAAUAAGAGAUUAUUCUAAUUCAGUCCAUGGAGACUCGUGUACUCCCAAGAGUGACUACUAGAACCAACAUAUUCAAAUAAUUUUCAAUGAAAUCAUCUGCUCCUUCAACUUCGUUCUGAUUGAGCCACUCCAAACCUUUGUCGCUUGCACACAGUCGCUGGUCUUGAAACAAUACACGGUGGUCGCAAUUUAAGUGUUUGCACAGCUCGUGCAUGAUGAGCCAUACGUCGAUGUUCUGCAACUUUUGUGAUGCUUUGUCAUCUUGGGAUAAAAAAGAUAUAGAAUCAGGGCCAAGUAUUGAGGCUACAGUUUCUAGUGACCUUAUGGAAGCUACAGAAAAGUAUUGGUCUUGGUGCAACUCAACUUCACCGGUACAGUCACUACGUGGCGCUUAGCCUACCGCGUAUCUGCCCGUCUAGGCAACAGUGGAAUGUAAGCGGCGCUUCGAGAAAUAUUAAAUCCCAGCUCGAUAAGUUUUUCAGUGAGCAGCUCUGAAAGACUAUGGACACUAGGAACAAUUUCACAGCGACGCCGUUCCUCAGCUGAUGCACCAAACAUAGCUAAAUCACUAAUAGUUUUCAGCAAUUCAGACUGCUCUUCCUCCAAGCGCGGACGUCUAGAGCUUGCUCGAGGUAUCAACGAUUUUGCUGCUCCAGGAUUUUUAGAACACAAUUCGAUAAUUUUUAUUUUUUCUAUGCUUCAUCGAGUAUAGUCUUUGGUUCUCCUUAGGUUUGAGCUGUUUUUCAAAAUUAUCAAUUUCUUGCCUAAACUUCUCAUCGUCGCUGAAUUUUCCGUUUUGUAGCACCUGUAGGGGAAAGAAAAAAUAAAGAAAAUGUGGCACAUACAAAAAAAAAUUGAAUGUAUGAAUGAAUAUCUCUAAAAACAUGCUUAAAAAAUGUAUAAAGUUUUCGAUGCAUCGAUUUAUAUCGAAUAUCCCUAGUCCUGUCAAGAGAUAGAAAAAAGAAGAAGAUAGUAAAGUGAUAAAAAACAUGGUAGCUUGAAAACCUGAUAAUGGAAGUGCUAAUAAAUAAAACUACUAGUAAAUAAGUAUAGUUUUAAUAAAACAUAUAAAAAAAAAGAAAUUGAACAAUAAACAACGAAACAACAUGAAACAGUUGAUUGACUUGUAUGCAAAAUACAGGAAUGAAGUUUGUACUUUCAAAGUAAAAAUGGUUAAAAUUAUGAAGCUGAAGAAAGCCACAGAGUUUAAAAAUAUUAGCAUCCAAAUAACACCAACAUUAUGAAUUAGUGAAAGGUAGUAGGAAGAAGCUUCAGAACAUAUGCGGAUAACCAGAAUAAAACAGGUAAACCUUCCUAUAUUUAGUAUCCUCAUGAUGUGAGUAAAAUGAAGAUAGGUUAGUUGGUGUUUGCUAAUAAAAUUGAGAAUUAAAUGAAAAAUAGGCUAUCAAAGAGAAAAUUAAAAUAAUUUAUAAAUAAACAAUUAUAAUUGGAUAUUUAUUGUUCAAUAGUGACAAAAAAAUUGUUGUUAACUGUGAUAGGGAUGCUAACUUGAAGGUGUAUUGUAAAUCAGUUUCUUUUGUUUAACAAAUUAAUUCCAAACAUUCGUUUAUUGUGAACCUUCAAAUAACUCCUAAUAAAUAAAAUGAAAAAUUGAGGAAUAAAAACAUUAUUUUCUGGAGUUGUAUUAGAUUAGCCCAUAUUGUAUUAUCAAUUUAAAUCUGUUUAUAUAACUGAUGGAAAACAAUCUACAUCCAAUUGAUAUAUGAAAUGAAAAAGGUUCUUUCAGCAGCUGUUUUCAGUAUGGCUGGGGAUUUGGAUACUUUUGCUGGUUUUUACUCUUGUUCUACUGUCUGUUAAGGCAAUCAGGGAAGUGAGUGGCAUAGUGUAUGUAACCAAACUAGCACAUUUUUUAAUUGCAACGGUUGUGAUCAUUAAAACACCAUGAAUACCUUUUCAUAUUAUUAUAUUUUAAUAAUGUAAUCAAUUCUUUUCUGCUAGCUUAUAAUACCUCAAUAUUGCUUCUAGAAAACAUGCUUACAUUUUAUGAAAUAAUGUAAGUAGGUACUUGAAUUGCAAAAAUAAUGAACAUAUUAAUUAAGUGAAUCAUUGCCUUUAAAUGGUUAAUGUAACAGUGUUAUAAAUGUUAUCUCUGCUUCUUGUGAAAAUUGAUAGUUUGAUGAAUUUGAACAGAAGUAAAGUUUAUAGUUCAAUAUAAUUAUCAACUUAUUUUCAACUAAUUUUAUAUUAUAUUUAAUGUCCACCAAAAUGGAUAAAUAGGUG